UUUUCCCUCACCCGCACAGCCCCUGUUGCAACUUGCACGCCCAUUUCAUUUUCUUCUUCUCCCUUUCUUCUUUCUUCUCCAUUUCUUCUGCUUUGUUCUUCUGCUCGAGUGACCCACAGAGAGUGAAACAGAGAGAGGGAGACUCGAGAGACGGAGAUUGAGAAAGAGAGAAAGGGGAGUUUGAGAGAGUGAGUCCGAGAGAGAGAGUGAAGCUGUCGGAGAGGGAGUGCGAACCGGAGAAGAAGAGAAACCCAGAGACCCGUAGCAGACUCGAGCCGAGCCCGUCGACGUCGGUGACCCGUGACCUGUGGAGAACCGAAGGGUGAAACCCGAUCCUCCUGAAAGCCCGAUUUUUCCCGGUGUUUCAGUGUGGGUCAGAGCAGGGGACAUCGGUGGGGCCAAAGGAGUGAUUUCCGGGGGAUUUUGGAGCAAAAUCCGGCGACUCCCGGUGGAUUUCCGGCGAAUUUUCCGGCGGCCCAGUGAGGGAUUUCCGGUGGUUCUUGAGCUCCAUUUUUUUAGAUCAGAGAAGUGGUUCAUGACCCUCACGUGCAGGACCAGGGAGAAAGCUCCUCGGCGCGUGUUGGCCACCCGCCUAACAAGGGAGAACCACACGGCCACGGCGUGUGACUACUGGACCGAAGGAGGCCGACGACCACCACAGGGAGGCGUGUGUCGCAUGAAUUCGAGCCAAAACGCAUAGAUCUAGCACCAAAGAAAAAAUCACACUGAUAAAGCACAGUCAGAAACGCCUCGUAGGAGACACACCACAAGCACCAAAACCACAAAACCAGUAGCUUGAAACUCCUUCUGCUGGAAAAGAAAAACAAAGAAACAACUAAAGAAAUAAAACAACCAAGCUCCAUAGCUAGAAGCUAGGAGAAAAACAGCCCCCACCGGGUCAGACUGGGAGGAAUAAAAAUCUCCACAACCUUAAGGGCUGGAAGUGAAAAACUAAACCCCCUGGAAACAAGCCUGGGAGAGAACAAAAAAAACCACCCUAGCCCUUUCAAGACUAGGGGGAGACCAAACACCGGGAGGGGGAGGCGUGAAGCCUCCCCCCCCGGCGACCAAAACAUUACGAGGGGCUCUCUCUCUACGAAGGCUCUCGAGACUUUCUCUCUCUAAUGUGACAUAACUCGAAAUCCAAAAAAUUUGAAAAUGAAAGGGUCCGGUGAGCUCUCUCUCUAAGAAGAUUCUUAAAAUAAUGUCAUCAACAUGUUUGUAAUACCAUAUCCUCCACCUCCUCCAAAACACAAGCGGCCCAAUUACAAUUCCAAAGCCAAAAACAAAUCCCAAUUCAGCACAUAUGUAAUUUCACUCAAUCAUACUCCUAUGACUUUCUUCAUAUGUUGGAGGUGGCAAUCGUGCCUCCUCAUGUGAGCACUGUGAUUUCAAAGGCAAAUCACAUAAUCUUCUGUUUCCUUUGACUGAAGCUUCUGGAAAUGUAGCAAAUUGCUUGUUGAAUGAAA
Alnus glutinosa is the source of this 1469-nucleotide long non-coding RNA. RefSeq lists it as uncharacterized. NCBI's taxonomy places the organism in Eukaryota, Viridiplantae, Streptophyta, Magnoliopsida, Fagales, Betulaceae. The transcript has 2 exons. The record is from RefSeq and is a predicted model, not a curated record.